This is a non-coding RNA of Aegilops tauschii subsp. strangulata, 1514 nucleotides long. NCBI's taxonomy places the organism in Eukaryota, Viridiplantae, Streptophyta, Magnoliopsida, Poales, Poaceae. The record is from RefSeq and is a predicted model, not a curated record.
CUGCAUCUCCCUCCUCCAUGACCGUGGCCACUAGCUACCCCUUGCCUCUUCCCUUUCCGCUCCUCUUGUGGACGGUGAAGGAGAGAGCGACGGGGCACGAGUAUCCUCACCACAGUAUAAACGGAACACCCACCUUCUUAGUUGUGGCUAACUAACGGCUCGGCAAAUUUGUGGCGGCGACGACCGCCCACGCUCCUCUUCCUCCGCUUUCUCGGAAUCGUGGCCUCCUCUUUGAUCAAGCUCGUCGUCUUCCACAAGGGCGGCGUCAACGCAGGAGGCUCUGGGUGGCCGUGGCGGCUGCGAGGAGGUAGCCUAUGGAGUCUAGCGACCGGACAAGGGCAAGGGUGCUGAUCCCCCCUACCCCCAAUCCCGAUGGGGCCACCAUCGACCAGAUCUUCAGCACGCCAGGUUCGCCCACUCUUUCCCUUUCCGCAACACUUGGAUCCCUAUUUUCUUCCCCGUUCUCUUUUACAUCGAAAUAUCAACUGAUGAUGAACAAAUUAAUGUGUCGAUGCAUCUUGUUAGUUAGUAGUAUUACUGAUGGUGGCAUUAUUUUACCCUUGUCUAUUAGAUCAGAAAUAGUUAGGAAAUAAGCACAUGUAUCUCAUAUUUGGAAACAGUGGCAAUGACUUCAUCCAUUAAUUCGUGCACACAAUCAUGUUCCACUGUGAUGAUUGAAGUUCAAUUGGUAAUCCUGUGGAAGCUAACUCAUUGAUUUACAAGGAUGGAAGAUCUAUGAUUUGAUGGACGUAGUUAGCAAACAAUUGGAUUUCAUACUUUGAUUGAGCAAAAAAUACACACACCAUUAUCGUCAUGUCAAUCAAACUGUAAUUGAGGGAAUGGUAGCAAAGGAGAUGUUCCACAAGCACUAACAAACCAUCGAGCAGACAAAUCGACAAGUAAGUUUAUUUGGCAACGCAAUGAUGUUAUGUCAACUAGGGGUAUAUUAGGAGGAUCUUAUGAGUGAUGCUUAUUUUCAUUUUGAGUAGUUAAUUACACUUUCCAUGGGUGCUUUGAUUGCUUGACAGUUGUACUUAAAAACUCACAUAUUCUAAUGGGCAUGUCAUUAUCGUCAAUGGCGGUGUCGGGACAGGUAGUAAGAUAUAUAGAUCUUGAUUUUCAUGAGCUAUAAAUCUCUGAUCCUAAGCCUUUAGCUGCUGUCAAUUUGUGGAAUUUAUGACAAUACCCUUUUUCCUGUGCACUGUUUGAGUGUCCGUUCUCAUAUGUUUGCCUCGCAUAAGCAGAUGCGCUAGUAGAUCAGGAAAUAUGAUGGGUUGGUAGAAGCUCACUAACUGGCUGAAAUUUGUGCAAUUCUUCCUAUUCUACUUUCCCUUUUUUUGGAAGGUCCAGCAAUAGCUGACCUUCAUUGAUCAUUAGCAGAGAGCAGCGGCAGAAUGUGACAAGGUGGUUGAAAGAACAUGCGGUGCCCCCAUGUUUGGUUUUGGUAAUUGAUGACAAUCUCUAUGGACUAAUGGUUGCCUUGAGUUAUAUUUGAAGGAUUUGUCCAUAGGCAU